Molecule: ribosomal RNA, 254 nt
Filed under: uncultured Planctomycetales bacterium
Lineage: Bacteria; Pseudomonadati; Planctomycetota; Planctomycetia; Planctomycetales
Description: partial 16S ribosomal RNA
Rfam family: Bacterial small subunit ribosomal RNA
Source: RNAcentral
GUGGGUUUGUAAGUCGGGCGUGAAAUCCCUCGGCUUAACCGAGGAACUGCGUCCGAAACUGCAUGGCUUGAGGACGGAAGGGGAAGGUGGAAUUCCUAGUGGAGCGGUGAAAUGCGUAGAUAUCAGGAGGAACGCCGGUGGCGAAAGCGGCCUUCUGGUCCGUUUCUGACGCUGAGGUGCGAAAGCUAGGGGAGCAAACAGGAUUAGAUACCCUGGUAGUCCUAGCCGUAAACGAUGGGCACUAAGUAGAGGGG